AAAGUAUCUUUAUAUAUCUUAUCAACUUAGUAUGAUUAUUAAUUUAUAACAAUAUGAUCAACAAGUAUGAUUGAUAAUAAAACCAAUCAGUUCAUCAACAUUCAUUUCUACUGUAAAUCCUUUUCACAAUGAAUUUUUUAAAAAUGGUUUUUAAUUUCUUUUCCUUUUAGGUAUCUACCUGUCAAAGAAGAGACUUUAAGUACGGAUGAUUGCAAGCUUACUUGUGAAACUGAGAACCAGACACAGAGUGAAAAUAUGGGAAAAGAGGGCACUGGAAAUGAUGAAGAGGAGGUACAAGAUGCAGCU
This is a long non-coding RNA of Saccostrea cuccullata (small rock oyster), 306 nucleotides long. RefSeq lists it as uncharacterized. The transcript has 3 exons. NCBI's taxonomy places the organism in Eukaryota, Metazoa, Mollusca, Bivalvia, Ostreida, Ostreidae. The record is from RefSeq and is a predicted model, not a curated record.